This is a non-coding RNA of Pelobates cultripes (western spadefoot toad), 277 nucleotides long. The record is from the annotation of a GenBank genome assembly. Lineage: Eukaryota; Metazoa; Chordata; Amphibia; Anura; Pelobatidae.
UUGUAGCGGAGAGGCAGUAUAAUCCACAAUAUCUCCGCUGGGUAACAGGAACAACAAAGGAUAAUCCAGGGGAAUCAGCAUGCAAUAAUCCAAGUAGCACUGUAGUAAUCUUUCCUUCCCAAGAACUAGACGACACAUAGGCUGGGAGUCAACUGAGGUCUUUAUUCACAGCUCCACAAUUUAUACAAGUCCCCAUGCAAGGGGUUUCCUGAGUCCUAUUCCAGGGGCAUUCCCAGAGUGGACUACAUGGGGAACUUAAUGUACAGAGCUUUUCUCC